GGUGAACGCUGGCGGCGUGCCUAAUACAUGCAAGUAGAACGCUGAAGGAGGAGCUUGCUCUUUCCGGAUGAGUUGCGAACGGGUGAGUAACGCGUAGGUAACCUGCCUGGUAGCGGGGGAUAACUAUUGGAAACGAUAGCUAAUACCGCAUAACAGUAGAUAUUGCAUGAUAUUUGCUUGAAAGGGGCAAUUGCUCCACUACCAGAUGGACCUGCGUUGUAUUAGCUAGUUGGUGAGGUAACGGCUCACCAAGGCGACGAUACAUAGCCGACCUGAGAGGGUGAUCGGCCACACUGGGACUGAGACACGGCCCAGACUCCUACGGGAGGCAGCAGUAGGGAAUCUUCGGCAAUGGACGGAAGUCUGACCGAGCAACGCCGCGUGAGUGAAGAAGGUUUUCGGAUCGUAAAGCUCUGUUGUAAGAGAAGAACGAGUGUGAGAGUGGAAAGUUCACACUGUGACGGUAUCUUACCAGAAAGGGACGGCUAACUACGUG
Molecule: ribosomal RNA, 496 nt
Filed under: uncultured bacterium
Lineage: Bacteria
Description: partial 16S ribosomal RNA
Rfam family: Bacterial small subunit ribosomal RNA
Source: RNAcentral